CAAAAAAAAAAAAAAAAAAAAAAGAGGGGAAGUCCCUGGCCUCUGCAGUGCAGAGAAGCAAGAGCUAGGUUUGGUCUCACUCACUCACUGCUGCCCUUCCUGACGGGACAGUUUGGAGAGGGGACUCAGGCGUACCCUGGGAGAGUGUUUAUUUCAAGGAGACCUUAAAAGAACAUGAUCUCCAUUCUCAGAUAACUGGAGACAGUCACUGAGCUGGUUCAGGGACAAUCCACUUGUUCUCUCUGCUGCUAAAGAUACUGCGGCGAGAGGCUGUAGGGGACAGGUUGCAGGGGAAGGCUGUGCUUUGUGAUGGGUCUACUGUAGCUGAGUUGAUCAGACAGUGGACUUCCUAGCUCAGGGUCAAGCAGAGCCCUAUGGCCACAGAGCAGGACGCUGUGGAAGGAGUUAGACCCUCAGAAGGCAGCCUGGUGUCUCUAAGUUUCAAAGCAGGUGGCUGUCUUGGCUCUAUUGAAAUUACAGCUCCACCUCUUUGAUGUUGCCAAGCCAAAGUGUAUGGCUUAAAGGAGCGGAGACACCCCAGCCCUACCUCCACCUCAAGUGCAGGUGUUGCUAACAGUGCUCAGUCAAGACCUGAGUCUUGGCCUGAUUGGCCUGGCCUGCUAUUUCUCUUCCCUGUGCUGUGCCUUCAUUGGUAAAAUAAAUCUGAUGGUGUCUGAAUUCUCUGACAAGCUCUAAA
Molecule: long non-coding RNA, 697 nt
Filed under: Rattus norvegicus (Norway rat)
Lineage: Eukaryota; Metazoa; Chordata; Mammalia; Rodentia; Muridae
Description: long non-coding RNA NONRATT026161
Source: RNAcentral